RNAcentral lists this unclassified non-coding RNA (378 nucleotides) under uncultured Parachlamydiaceae bacterium. RNAcentral describes it as "contains 16S-23S intergenic spacer region". The record is from RNAcentral. Lineage: Bacteria; Pseudomonadati; Chlamydiota; Chlamydiia; Parachlamydiales; Parachlamydiaceae.
UCCCGGUUAACCCGGGCAGUCUCAUUAGAGUUCCCACCAUUACGUGUUGGCAACUAAUGACAAGGGUUGCGCUCGUUGCGGGACUUAACCCAACACCUCACGGCACGAGCUGACGACAGCCAUGCAGCACCUGUGCAGCAGCCCCGAAGGGAGACGCCAUCUCUGGCGUUGUCUACUGCAUGUCAAACCUGGGUAAGGUUCUUCGCGUUGCAUCGAAUUAAACCACAUGCUCCACUGCUUGUGCGGGUCCCCGUCAAUUCUUUUGAGUUUCACCCUUGCGAGCGUACUCCUCAGGCGGUAUACUUAACGCGUUAGCUACGGCACAACCGGGGUUGAGUCCAGUUACACCAAGUAUACAUCGUUUACAGCAAGGACUAC